UUGAAUUAAUAGUGGUAGUGCUGAUGCUGGUGGUCAAACACAUGUGCUCGCUCUGCCACUUAUUAACAUUUCCACCUGUGAACUAUUGUAGAUGUUGAAGGUCACCUCUCAAGCUUUCAGCAAUGAUAUGCUUGGUCUGGCGUUUGCGGGCUUCAUUCAGUUGAAGUCGGCUCUCGCUGCGAACUUCAACAUCUAUCCUUACAUAUACCCAUUAACAAAAAGUAACAAGAAGGACUUGAUUGGGCUUCAUUGCCUAUAAAUCAAUUAUA
This 269-nucleotide unclassified non-coding RNA is filed under the name uncultured Cyathus. Its description in RNAcentral is "sequence contains ITS1". The record is from RNAcentral. Lineage: Eukaryota; Fungi; Basidiomycota; Agaricomycetes; Agaricales; Nidulariaceae.